This 87-nucleotide transfer RNA is filed under the name Peptococcaceae bacterium. Its description in RNAcentral is "tRNA-Tyr". It matches the Rfam family "tRNA". From Rfam's summary of the family: Transfer RNA (tRNA) molecules are approximately 80 nucleotides in length. Their secondary structure includes four short double-helical elements and three loops (D, anti-codon, and T loops). Further hydrogen bonds mediate the characteristic L-shaped molecular structure. tRNAs have two regions of fundamental functional importance: the anti-codon, which is responsible for specific mRNA codon recognition, and the 3' end, to which the tRNAs corresponding amino acid is attached (by aminoacyl-tRNA synthetases). tRNAs cope with the degeneracy of the genetic code in two manners: having more than one tRNA (with a specific anti-codon) for a particular amino acid; and 'wobble' base-pairing, i.e. permitting non-standard base-pairing at the 3rd anti-codon position. Lineage: Bacteria; Bacillati; Bacillota; Clostridia; Eubacteriales; Peptococcaceae. RNAcentral also lists the same sequence under 1 other name. The record is from RNAcentral.
GGAGGGAUGCCCGAGUCUGGCCAAAGGGGGCAGACUGUAAAUCUGCUGGCGCAGCCUUCGCUGGUUCAAAUCCAGCUCCCUCCACCA